GUGGGGAAUAUUGGGCAAUGGGCGCAAGCCUGACCCAGCCACGCCGCGUGAGUGAUGAAGGCCUUCGGGUCGUAAAGCUCUGUGGGGAGGGACGAAACGCCAUCGUCUAAUAGACGGUGGUCUGACGGUACCUCCUUAGCAAGCACCGGCUAACUCCGUGCCAGCAGCCGCGGUAAUACGGAGGGUGCAAACGUUGCUCGGAAUCAUUGGGCGUAAAGCGCGCGUAGGCGGUUCGGCAAGUCGGAUGUGAAAGCCCUCGGCUCAACCGAGGAAGUGCACUCGAAACUACCGAGCUAGAGUACCGGAGAGGGUGACGGAAUUCCCGGUGUAGAGGUGAAAUUCGUAGAUAUCGGGAGGAACACCAGUGGCGAAGGCGGUCACCUGGACGGAUACUGACGCUGAGGUGCGAAAGCGUGGGGAGCAAACAGGAUUAGAAACCCUUGUAGUCC
Molecule: ribosomal RNA, 449 nt
Filed under: uncultured bacterium
Lineage: Bacteria
Description: bacterial SSU rRNA
Rfam family: Bacterial small subunit ribosomal RNA
Source: RNAcentral